This is a small nuclear RNA of Tripterygium wilfordii, 194 nucleotides long. RefSeq annotates it as U2 spliceosomal RNA. The record is from RefSeq and is a predicted model, not a curated record. Lineage: Eukaryota; Viridiplantae; Streptophyta; Magnoliopsida; Celastrales; Celastraceae. The transcript has a single exon.
AUUCCUUUCUCGGCCUUUUGGCUAAGAUCAAGCGUAGUAUGUGUUAUUAUCAGUUUAAUAUUUGAUACGGGAAUUAUAGACUCACAUGAUAUUAAAUUAAUUUUUUCAGUUUUUUCAGAGGGAAGGCCCAAUUGAGUAGCUUACUACUCGGGCCUUCACGUGUUGCAUUAAAGCACGGGCCUGGCGCUCCCCUC